Molecule: ribosomal RNA, 1308 nt
Filed under: uncultured Alphaproteobacteria bacterium
Lineage: Bacteria; Pseudomonadati; Pseudomonadota; Alphaproteobacteria
Description: uncultured alpha proteobacterium 16S ribosomal RNA
Rfam family: Bacterial small subunit ribosomal RNA
Source: RNAcentral
ACGCUGGCGGCACGCCUAACACAUGCAAGUCGAACGAAGUAGCAAUACUUAGUGGCAGACGGGUGAGUAACAUGUAGGUAUCUGCCCUUUGGCCUGGAAUAACACGAGGAAACUUGUGCUAAUACCGGAUAAGUCUUUACGGAGAAAGCUUUAUGCACCAUUGGAUGAGCCUGCACUUGAUUAGUUUGUUGGUGGGGUAAUGGCCUACCAAGACUGUGAUCAAUAGCUGAUUUGAGAGGAUGAUCAGCCACAUUGGGACUGAGACACGGCCCAAACUCCUACGGGAGGCAGCAGUGGGGAAUCUUGCACAAUGGAGGAAACUCUGAUGCAGCGAUGCCGCGUGAGUGAAGAAGGCCCUUGGGUUGUAAAGCUCUUUCGUCGGGGAAGAAAAUGACUGUACCCGAAUAAGAAGGUCCGGCUAACUUCGUGCCAGCAGCCGCGGUAAUACGAAGGGACCUAGCGUAGUUCGGAAUUACUGGGCUUAAAGAGUUCGUAGGUGGUUGAAAAAGUUAGUGGUGAAAUCCCAGAGCUUAACUCUGGAACUGCCAUUAAAACUUUUCAGCUAGAGUAUGAUAGAGGAAAGCAGAAUUUCUAGUGUAGAGGUGAAAUUCGUAGAUAUUAGAAAGAAUACCAAUUGCGAAGGCAGCUUUCUGGAUCAUUACUGACACUGAGGAACGAAAGCAUGGGUAGCGAAGAGGAUUAGAUACCCUCGUAGUCCAUGCCGUAAACGAUGUGUGUUAGACGUUGGAAAUUUAUUUUCAGUGUCGCAGCGAAAGCGAUAAACACACCGCCUGGGGAGUACGACCGCAAGGUUAAAACUCAAAUGAAUUGACGGGGACCCGCACAAGUAGUGGAGCAUGUGGUUUAAUUCGAAGAUACGCGCAGAACCUUACCAACACUUGACAUGUUCGUCGCGACUCUAAGAGAUUAGAGUUUUCGGUUCGGCCGGACGAAACACAGGUGCUGCAUGGCUGUCGUCAGCUCGUGUCGUGAGAUGUUGGGUUAAGUCCCGCAACGAGCGCAACCCUCACUUUUAGUUGCCAUCAUUAAGUUGGGCACUCUGAAAGAACUGCCAGUGAUAAGCUGGAGGAAGGUGGGGAUGACGUCAAGUCCUCAUGGCCCUUACGUGUUGGGCUACGCACGUGCUACAAUGGUAUCUACAACAGGAAGCAAGACUGCGAAGUUAAGCAAAUCCCUAAAAGAUACCUCAGUUCGGAUUGCACUCUGCAACUCGAGUGCAUGAAGCUGGAAUUACUAGUAAUCGUGGAUCAGCGUGCCACGGUGAAUGCGUUCCCGGGUCUUGUACAC